UCUCCUCCUCCUCCUUCCCGCCCCGCCGCCGCCUCGCCUCCUCUCAGCCCGGGCCGGGGGCGCAGCCGCCCGCCCUCGCCCUCGGGAAAAGUUUCUCCCGGCCCCGGGACCCCCCUGCCCCGCUCUCGGGCGGCGGGGCCGGGGUCACCUCAGCCAAUACUUGGUUCCUGGGCACUCACCUGGGACAGGGGCCAGCUUGGUGGCCAGCCAAGUAGCUGUGCAGUGCCCAGUCCCAGGGGCAGCACCGAGGAAGGUGUGCCAGGAUCAGGGCCCCAGCACUGAGCACUGACCAUCCUACGUAUCACAAUGCUGCUCUCUCCUUCCCUGGGGAGUAGCCUCCAGUUCUGGAUGUGAGAGACGUUAGAAGGAUGUUGUGAAAUAAAACCUAAAGAAGUCCACCGAGAUUCAUCAAUAAAGGAAGGAAUCCAUGGAGGAGGUUCAGUGUUGCUGGGAGCUGUGGAAGUGAGGGAAGCCAAAAAGUCUCCUGCCACCUGCUCCCACACUUAUGUUGCAGUUCAGUCCACCAGGGAUGGUGGCUUCCUCGGGCUGGUGCCUCCAGCAGUGGCAGGCUGGAGUGGUGUCUAACACACCCGUCAAAGGCUUUGGCAUGGGCACUUCAGUGUCCACCUUUCCUCUGUUUUUCCAUGUUCCUGAUCUAAUUGCACCAACAGAGCAGUCAAAAAUUAACCUCCUUCCACCUGGCCCAAACAGGCUCUUUUAGAAGAGUUUCUGGUGUCUGGCAGCAGCUUUGCCCUACCUUACAUAGACAAGUGCUAAAAUAAAUAUCAUCCUCUUAAAAUGUAGCAUAGAAACGUCAUUUAAAUUUAAGCCAUUUAAAACCAAAGGUAGAAAUCCCAUGUGUGGUGCAAAGCCUCUUAAUGCAAAUAGUCAGUCAUGCAUUGCAUGCCUCAAUCACACUCGUAUCGGUGUCAUUUGUGUCCUAAUAAAAUCCUAUAAUCUUUUGCGUGCCAAUUAAAGAAGGAAGAUAGCUAAGUCUAGCUGCUUCCUCGGGUAAUUACAGGCUAGCAGGGAGUCAGGCAGUUAUCUGCCCUGGGUUUGCUGGACUGGGGAUUACCAAAGGGUAUUUUCUCUCCUGUUUUUCUAAGGGACAGUACAAUGUUUUUUUUAACUGUAUGGUGUUUUAAAGGCAUAACCAGGAUCCAGGCAAUGGUUGUUAAUGAAAGAUCUAGAGUUCAGAUACACCCAGUUAAACAAUGGAUUGAGCUUAACAAUUGUAUUUGCUUUACCAAUAUUUUAAGAGUCACUUUUCAGAAAGAAGCGUUUAUAUUGA
Molecule: long non-coding RNA, 1291 nt
Organism: Lepidothrix coronata (blue-crowned manakin)
Lineage: Eukaryota; Metazoa; Chordata; Aves; Passeriformes; Pipridae
Exons: 3
Source: RefSeq, a predicted model, not a curated record